This 149-nucleotide microRNA precursor is filed under the name Arabidopsis suecica. RNAcentral's name for it is "mir-166". It matches the Rfam family "mir-166 microRNA precursor family". From Rfam's summary of the family: This family represents the plant microRNA (miRNA) precursor mir-166. Lineage: Eukaryota; Viridiplantae; Streptophyta; Magnoliopsida; Brassicales; Brassicaceae. The record is from RNAcentral.
UUUGAGGGGAAUGUUGUCUGGCACGAGGCCCUUAACUUAGAUCUAUAUUUGAUUAUAUAUAUAUAUAUGUCUCAUCUUUAUUCAUUAGUCUAUACAUGAAUGAUCAUUUUACGGUUAAUGACGUCGGACCAGGCUUCAUUCCCCUCAAU